AUAUCCCUAAAAUUGUGAAGCCUCUACAUGCUACUCUUCUACUACCUCUAGCGAUGAAACUCCAAUAAACCUAAAAGAUCGAAAAUUUCACAGCUUCUCUUCUCUUCCAUCACCCAUCACUCUCUCUCUCCCGUGUGCCUCCAUUCUAGAUCUGCUCGGAAACAAAAAUUGAAAGAAGUUUGGCAGUUGGGCAAUAGUACUAGAGGCUUGUUUCGAUUCUAUGAUUGGUCUUGUUUAGGAUUUGAGGGUACGUAAAUCUACUAAUGGAGAUUCCGAAGCAAAUGCAUCUUGAUCCUUAGCUGCUAGCCACUAGUUACAAGGACGAGACAUUGAGGAAUGCAGUUGCAAAGUUUAAGGGGAAGAAAUGAAGACAAUAGGUUUGUCUUUGUUUAUUCAAUCAUGCUUAAGUGGAGAUUGUAGUUACUCACUUCAGUAGGUAUUGGGCUUUUAGGUUGCAAU
Rosa rugosa (rugosa rose) is the source of this 459-nucleotide long non-coding RNA. RefSeq lists it as uncharacterized. The transcript is spliced from 4 exons. NCBI's taxonomy places the organism in Eukaryota, Viridiplantae, Streptophyta, Magnoliopsida, Rosales, Rosaceae. The record is from RefSeq and is a predicted model, not a curated record.